GACGAACGCUGGCGGCGUGCUUAACACAUGCAAGUCGAACGAAGAGCGAUGGAAGCUUGCUUCUAUCAAUCUUAGUGGCGCACGGGUGAGUAACGCGUAAUCAACCUGCCCUUCAGAGGGGGACAACAGUUGGAAACGACUGCUAAUACCGCAUACGAUCUAAUCUCGGCAUCGAGGAUAGAUGAAAGGUGGCCUCUACAUGUAAGCUAUCACUGAAGGCGGGGAUUGCGUCUGAUUAGCUAGCUGGGGGGGUAACGGCCCACCAAGGCGAUGAUCAGUAGCCGGUCUGAGAGGGUGAACGGCCACAUUGGGACUGGAACACGGCCCAGACUCCUACGGGAGGCAGCAGUGGGGAAUCUUCCGCAAUGGACGAAAGUCUGACGGAGCAACGCCGCGUGAGUGAUGACGGCCUUCGGGUUGUAAAGCUCUGUUAAUCGGGACGAAAGGCCUUCUUGCGAAUAGUGAGAAGGAUUGACGGUACCGGAAUAGAAAGCCACGGCUAACUACGUG
RNAcentral lists this ribosomal RNA (510 nucleotides) under uncultured bacterium. RNAcentral describes it as "partial 16S ribosomal RNA". It matches the Rfam family "Bacterial small subunit ribosomal RNA", at positions 28 to 507 of the family's 1533-position model. The record is from RNAcentral.